This is a long non-coding RNA of Triticum aestivum (bread wheat), 1025 nucleotides long. RefSeq lists it as uncharacterized. The record is from RefSeq and is a predicted model, not a curated record. Lineage: Eukaryota; Viridiplantae; Streptophyta; Magnoliopsida; Poales; Poaceae. The transcript is spliced from 3 exons.
CACUCGUGCUAAUGGCAUGUCCUCCUAGUAGCAGCCAGUCCCGGGUAUUACGUGGAAAACCUAGACCCUGGCGUGAUUAACGUGUGUCCGGAGGCGAUAAGUGCCGCUGCCGGUUGUCGCUCCGGUGCCUCUGCUCCUAAUUAGAUUCCACUCUGAUUAAAUCGGGCGACACUGGCGACAGGUGAUCCUCCGUACAAUACUAUAAACUCCAACCAGGCAAGAGAAGAUAUUACCAUUAUUUUCAAAAAAUAGAAAGUAGGAUUUUGGCGCCCAUGAUCCAUCUGAGGAGCCUAAGGUUGAUUUUAAGCAAUACCCGGGGUGUGUUGACAAUUGAGGAACAUUGUUGUGAACCAUAGAGUUUGACAUUUUGUUUGAAAUCUAGGAAGUGCUUUCGACUAAGAAUCUAUUUUUUAAGGUAUGUGCGUUGGAUCAAAGAUAAUCAGUUAUAUUUUAAUUGCAUAUGAUGUGGAAGUAUAGGUUUACUUUAACACAUUCAAGUGCAAGUGCAAUCGAUAUAUAAGUUGCUUUGUGACAAUAUGCAUCCAUAGAUCUUUGUAAACAUUAAAUUGUUCAUGAGCCGUUAUAUUUUGUCCAUAAAAUGCUAAUUACAUUUGAAUACAUAUUGAUUUUAUCUUCCGUUGCAACACACGGGCAUAUGUGCUAGUAACUUCUAAACAAUUUAAGUAAUCUUGGAGCGGCAUUCGGUGUUAAGAUAUUCAGUACCACUAUGAUUAAUUUACAUACGUGUCGUGCAGUAGCUGAGCUCAUCGCCUUGGGAUUGACCAUGCCCGCAUGUGUUGAGAUCAGGUUAACACUGCAACCACCCUCAACGAUGAAGGAAUGGACGAUAAGUGGCGAUAAAGAUGAACUCCGUGUUGAAAUAGAGGGCGUGGAUAUGUAAGGGGUAUUGUACCAUGCUUAUCACGCUAGAGACUGUGCGAACUAGCGGAACGUCUUGCCUUCUCAGGCCGACGGGUUCAUGUUAAAUAGAUGGGGCGCACCUCCCAUAACAGCGCAUACAUUCA